Molecule: unclassified non-coding RNA, 357 nt
Filed under: soil metagenome
Description: partial contains 5.8S ribosomal RNA, internal transcribed spacer 2, and large subunit ribosomal RNA
Rfam family: 5.8S ribosomal RNA (bases 1-120)
Source: RNAcentral
GAUGAAGAACGUAGCGAAAUGCGAUAAGUAAUGUGAAUUGCAGAAUUCAGUGAAUCAUCGAAUCUUUGAACGCACAUUGCGCCCGUCAGUAUUCUGGCGGGCAUGCCUGUUCGAGCGUCAUUACGCCCCUCAAGUCCCCUGUGGACUUGGUGUUGGGGAUCGGCGAGGCUGGUUUUCCAGCACAGCCGUCCCUUAAAUUAAUUAGCGGUCUCGCCGUGGCCCUCCUCUGCGCAGUAGUAAAACACUCGCAACAGGAGCCCGGCGCGGUCCACUGCCGUAAAACCCCCCAACUUUUUAUAGUUGACCUCGAAUCAGGUAGGACUACCCGCUGAACUUAAGCAUAUCAAAAGCGGAGGA